This 425-nucleotide ribosomal RNA is filed under the name uncultured bacterium. Its description in RNAcentral is "bacterial SSU rRNA". It matches the Rfam family "Bacterial small subunit ribosomal RNA", at positions 354 to 776 of the family's 1533-position model. RNAcentral also lists the same sequence under 1 other name. The record is from RNAcentral.
GUAAGGAAUAUUGGGCAAUGGAGGCAACUCUGACCCAGCCAUGCCGCGUGGAGGAUGAAGGUCCUCUGGAUUGUAAACUUCUUUUAUUUGGGAAGAAAUGCCGAUUUUCUAAUUGGUUUGACGGUACCAGAUGAAUAAGCACCGGCUAACUCCGUGCCAGCAGCCGCGGUAAUACGGAGGGUGCAAGCGUUAUCCGGAUUCACUGGGUUUAAAGGGUGCGUAGGCGGGCAUAUAAGUCAGUGGUGAAAUCCCCGAGCUUAACUUGGGAACUGCCGUUGAUACUAUGUGUCUUGAAUAUCGCGGAGGUAAGCGGAAUAUGUCAUGUAGCGGUGAAAUGCAUAGAUAUGACAUAGAACACCGAUUGCGAAGGCAGCUUACUACACGAUCAUUGACGCUGAGGCACGAAAGCGUGGGGAGCAAACAGG